UGAAUUGGGACUAGACCUACUUAUCGGGUGGGCCAAGCUAAGCCAAGGGAUUGGAACCAUUUUUCAGGCCCAAGUCGGGCCCAGCCUGGUCUUUAGGCCUCCUUUCCAAACCCGAGCCUGCUCCAUGAUGGGCUUUGGGCUUUUGGGCCAAGCCUUGGGCUUACUUGGAUGAGAAAAAAAUGGGGAGGUGACGAGCCAGCGACACUAGCGAGGAGGUAGUUGGGGCUUGGGAGGUGAAGAUGAUGUGAAGAAGCGAGAAGAUGGAAUGAGGAGGAGGCAGAGAGGCAGUGAGCUUGUUAAGAGGAAGAUAAGGUGGGGAGGC
RNAcentral lists this long non-coding RNA (322 nucleotides) under Elaeis guineensis (African oil palm). RNAcentral describes it as "long non-coding RNA (EGUI_LNC040715)". Lineage: Eukaryota; Viridiplantae; Streptophyta; Magnoliopsida; Arecales; Arecaceae. The record is from RNAcentral.